Molecule: microRNA precursor, 202 nt
Filed under: Oryza sativa Japonica Group (Japanese rice)
Lineage: Eukaryota; Viridiplantae; Streptophyta; Magnoliopsida; Poales; Poaceae
Description: MIR812 microRNA precursor family
Rfam family: MIR812 microRNA precursor family
Source: Rfam by way of RNAcentral
AAUAAGUACAGCUAUGGUUUCGCGCCCAACUUUGACCGUUCGUCUUAUUUGAAAACUUUUAGAAAAAAAUAAAAACAUAAGUCACGAGUAAAGUACUAUUCAUAUUUUAUCAUCUCAUAAUAACAAAAAUGCUAAUCAUAAAAAAAUUUCAAAUAAGACGGACAAUCAAAGUUGGAUGCGGAAACUCAUGAUUGUACUUAUU